RNAcentral lists this ribosomal RNA (1382 nucleotides) under uncultured bacterium. RNAcentral's name for it is "bacterial SSU rRNA". It matches the Rfam family "Bacterial small subunit ribosomal RNA", at positions 18 to 1394 of the family's 1533-position model. The record is from RNAcentral.
CCUGGCUCAGGAUGAACGCUAGCUACAGGCUUAACACAUGCAAGUCGAGGGGCAGCAUGGUCUUAGCUUGCUAAGGCCGAUGGCGACCGGCGCACGGGUGAGUAACGCGUAUCCAACCUGCCUUACACUCUUGGACAGCCUUCUGAAAGGGAGAUUAAUACAAGAUGUUAUCAUGAGUAAGCAUUUUCGCAUGAUUAAAGGUUUACCGGUGUAAGAUGGGGAUGCGUUCCAUUAGAUAGUAGGCGGGGUAACGGCCCACCUAGUCUUCGAUGGAUAGGGGUUCUGAGAGGAAGGUCCCCCACAUUGGAACUGAGACACGGUCCAAACUCCUACGGGAGGCAGCAGUGAGGAAUAUUGGUCAAUGGACGAGAGUCUGAACCAGCCAAGUAGCGUGAAGGAUGAAGGUUCUAUGGAUUGUAAACUUCUUUUAUACGGGAAUAAACGAAUCCACGUGUGGAUUUUUGCAUGUACCGUAUGAAUAAGGAUCGGCUAACUCCGUGCCAGCAGCCGCGGUAAUACGGAGGAUCCGAGCGUUAUCCGGAUUUAUUGGGUUUAAAGGGAGCGUAGAUGGGUUGUUAAGUCAGUUGUGAAAGUUUGCGGCUCAACCGUAAAAUUGCAAUUGAUACUGGCAGUCUUGAGUACAGUGAGGUAUGCGGAAUUCGUGGUGUAGCGGUGAAAUGCUUAGAUAUCACGAAGAACUCCGAUUGCGAAGGCAGCUUACUAACCUGUAACUGACAUUGAUGCUCGAAAGUGUGGGUAUCAAACAGGAUUAGAUACCCUGGUAGUCCACACGGUAAACGAUGAAUACUCGCUGUAGGCGAUAUACAGUCUGCGGCCAAGCGAAAGCAUUAAGUAUUCCACCUGGGGAGUACGCCGGCAACGGUGAAACUCAAAGGAAUUGACGGGGGCCCGCACAAGCGGAGGAACAUGUGGUUUAAUUCGAUGAUACGCGAGGAACCUUACCCGGGCUUAAAUUGCAACCGAAUAUGGCGGAAACGCUAUAGCUAGCAAUAGCGGUUGUGAAGGUGCUGCAUGGUUGUCGUCAGCUCGUGCCGUGAGGUGUCGGCUUAAGUGCCAUAACGAGCGCAACCCUUGCCGAUAGUUACUAACAGGUUAUGCUGAGGACUCUGUCGGGACUGCCAUCGUAAGAUGUGAGGAAGGUGGGGAUGACGUCAAAUCAGCACGGCCCUUACGUCCGGGGCUACACACGUGUUACAAUGGGGGGUACAGAGGGCUGCUACCACGCAAGUGGAUGCCAAUCCCAAAAACCUCUCUCAGUUCGGAUUGAAGUCUGCAACCCGACUUCAUGAAGCUGGAUUCGCUAGUAAUCGCGCAUCAGCCACGGCGCGGUGAAUACGUUCCCGGGCCUUGUACACACCGCC